CCUACGGGGAGCAGCAGUGGGGAAUAUUGCACAAUGGGGGAAACCCUGAUGCAGCAACGCCGCGUGAGUGAAGAAGUAUUUCGGUAUGUAAAGCUCUAUCAGCAGGGAAGAAGAUGACGGUACCUGAGUAAGAAGCCCCGGCUAACUACGUGCCAGCAGCCGCGGUAAUACGUAGGGGGCAAGCGUUAUCCGGAUUUACUGGGUGUAAAGGGAGCGUAGGCGGCGAUGCAAGUCAGAAGUGAAAGCCCGGGGCUCAACUCCGGGACUGCUUUUGAAACUGUAUGGCUAGAUUGCAGGAGAGGCAAGGGGAAUUCCUAGUGUAGCGGUGAAAUGCGUAGAUAUUAGGAGGAACACCAGUGGCGAAGGCGGCCUGCUGGACGAUGACUGACGUUGAGGCUCGAAAGCGUGGGGAGCAAACAGGAUUAGAUACCCCAGUAGUC
This 440-nucleotide ribosomal RNA is filed under the name uncultured bacterium. RNAcentral's name for it is "partial 16S ribosomal RNA". It matches the Rfam family "Bacterial small subunit ribosomal RNA", at positions 338 to 795 of the family's 1533-position model. The record is from RNAcentral.